Molecule: long non-coding RNA, 1115 nt
Organism: Dreissena polymorpha
Lineage: Eukaryota; Metazoa; Mollusca; Bivalvia; Myida; Dreissenidae
Exons: 3
Source: RefSeq, a predicted model, not a curated record
AACUAUCUGAAAAGCCUGUGUGUGAGUCAGAUGUGUCUGCGGCUAAUCUAUUGGUUAUAAAAUAUCACAGCCUUUUCUGAUUGGCUGAGUUCAAAUACAGAAAGUUUACCUGUUAGAUUGAAAUUAUGGAGAAGGCGUAUUGAAGAAAAAAUGCAGGUUAAACUUGUUGUUAAAAUGAAGUUAAUGUAAUUUCACAAACAGUAGAGUUUAACUUAAUGAGUUUUUCCAUUAACAAGAAUUUCUUAAAAUAAUAAUGUAUGGAUAUCAUUUGGAAAGUGACAUGAAAUGUUGUUAAAAAGUGAUGCAUACAAGUGUUUCAGAAGUCUGUCUAGGAAUAGAACAACAACUGAAGCUGACCAGUUGAUGGAAGAUACUGCAGAGUUUGGCAGGGAAAUAACCCAAGACAGCAAAGCGGCUCUUUUGGCGCAUUUACCAAGAGGACUAACAUGGCCACAAAUUCAUGAGAUCAUGCAGGAGCCGUACAGUAUAACAGCAGUACAAGUUCUAUAAAAGAUCCACGACCUACUGAAGCCCAGCUAAUUAACAAAAAAGUUUUUAAAAACUGUAAUUUUAUCCCACCUGGGUACUUAUAAUUUACUAACUGUCACUUGGAAAGUAAUACAUGUACAUGCAUUCAUGUUCUGAAUUUCUUUGAACAAUAAAAUUAUAUAAAAGUAUUUUAAUGAAAUUGAGCACCUAAAUUGCAUUAAAGUGAAAGUAGCUGAGAAAAAUAGUAUCCUUAAUUGUUCUCAUGGGCAGCUACAUAUAUUGUGACAAACAUGAAGUAGCUAAAAUAACUUAAAUUUUUCAUUUUGUUUCUUGUAUAUCGUUUGUACAGGGUUCGUGAAUUGUUACUGUAUAUUACUUGACUUGCUUGUAUUUUGUUACUUUGAAUACAUGUUGUUAAGGUUGCAUUAUACUUUUUAACUUUUAAAGUAGCGCCUGUUCUGUUAUGUAAGGGCCUGAUUUAUGAUAAUGGACCUAGAGGCUUUGUAAGCAUGUAUUAAACAACACUUGUUUGAUCUGAAUAAUUUGUUAAAUAAAUGUAACACAAUUUGUAAUCUGAUGUUAUAUUUUGAUGAAUUGUGAACAAAAUAAUACAUCGAAGAAACUAA